RNAcentral lists this ribosomal RNA (497 nucleotides) under uncultured bacterium. RNAcentral describes it as "partial 16S ribosomal RNA". It matches the Rfam family "Bacterial small subunit ribosomal RNA", at positions 28 to 507 of the family's 1533-position model. The record is from RNAcentral.
GAUGAACGCUGGCGGCGUGCCUAACACAUGCAAGUCGAACGGAAAGACCCUGAGCUUGUGCUCUUCACGGUAGCGGCAGGCGGGUGGGUAACGCGUGUAUCACCCACUUCUAUUUCGGGGAGCAUCACGGAAGUCCGGCUAUAAUACUAUAGAAUAUCCUGCACCGCUGUGUGCAAUGGAAAAUCUCGGCUUUUCUGGCUGUAAUAGCUGGUUCCGCGCUGGAUUAGCUAGUUGGUAAGGUAACAGCCUUUCAAGGGUACGAAGCGUAGACGAGCGGAGGGGAUGAUCGGCCACACUGGAACUGAGACACGGUCCAGACUCCUACGGGAGGCAGCAGUAGGGAAUGUUGGGCAAUGGGCGGAAGCCUGACGCAGCAAGGCCGCGUGGGUGAUGAAGGCCUUCGGAUCGUAAAGCCCUGUUGUUGGGGAAGAACAGCUGUGGAUUAAAACAAAGCGGGCGUGACGGUACCUAAUAAAGAAGCACCGGCUAACUACGUG